This 418-nucleotide ribosomal RNA is filed under the name Pseudomonas sp. '5.5 MW-9'. RNAcentral's name for it is "bacterial SSU rRNA". It matches the Rfam family "Bacterial small subunit ribosomal RNA", at positions 105 to 525 of the family's 1533-position model. Lineage: Bacteria; Pseudomonadati; Pseudomonadota; Gammaproteobacteria; Pseudomonadales; Pseudomonadaceae. The record is from RNAcentral.
GUUGAUUAAUACCUAGGAAUCUGCCUGGUAGUGGGGGACAACGUUUCGAAAGGAACGCUAAUACCGCAUACGUCCUACGGGAGAAAGCAGGGGACCUUCGGGCCUUGCGCUAUCAGAUGAGCCUAGGUCGGAUUAGCUAGUUGGUGAGGUAAUGGCUCACCAAGGCUACGAUCCGUAACUGGUCUGAGAGGAUGAUCAGUCACACUGGAACUGAGACACGGUCCAGACUCCUACGGGAGGCAGCAGUGGGGAAUAUUGGACAAUGGGCGAAAGCCUGAUCCAUCCAUGCCGCGUGUGUGAAGAAGGUCUUCGGAUUGUAAAGCACUUUAAGUUGGGAGGAAGGGCAGUAAGCGAAUAACUUGCUGUUUUGACGUNCCGACGGAUUANCCCCGCUACUCUGUCCNGNGCCGCGGUAACG